RNAcentral lists this long non-coding RNA (284 nucleotides) under Lathyrus oleraceus (garden pea). Its description in RNAcentral is "Pisum sativum (pea) long non-coding RNA (PSAT_LNC034375)". The record is from RNAcentral. Lineage: Eukaryota; Viridiplantae; Streptophyta; Magnoliopsida; Fabales; Fabaceae.
UGUUUGUUUACAGGAGGUGAGAUUUGUUUGUGAAGAGAAAGAAAACAAAGUUUUCUUGCGUAUACCAAAGAAGAAGAACACUUCUUCUAUUUUUUCAACUCUUUUUUUGUUGUUGAAGUAUUUACGAGUGAGAUGAGUAUUAUGGUGUAGUGGCUAUGAAGAAGCAGAUAAUAGAUAUACACGAAGAAGAGGAACUUUCUCUCAAGAUAUUGCUUUUUGUUUCAUCUUAACUUUUUUCUUUUUUUAAUGUGGUUUUCUUUGAUUUGGAUUCAGAGAAUGAAAAA